GGGGUUAAGGGGAGACUGGAAUUCCUGGUGUAGCGGUGAAAUGCGCAGAUAUCAGGAGGAACACCGGUGGCGAAGGCGGGUCUCUGGGCCGAUACUGACGCUGAGGAGCGAAAGCGUGGGGAGCGAACAGGAUUAGAUACCCUGGUAGUCCACGCUGUAAACGUUGGGCGCUAGGUGUGGGGGGCCUCUCCGGUUCUCUGUGCCGCAGCUAACGCAUUAAGCGCCCCGCCUGGGGAGUACGGCCGCAAGGCUAAAACUCAAAGGAAUUGACGGGGGCCCGCACAAGCGGCGGAGCAUGCGGAUUAAUUCGAUGCAACGCGAAGAACCUUACCUGGGUUUGACAUGGCCGCAAAACCUGCAGAGAUGUGGGGUCCUUCGGGGGCGGUCACAGGUGGUGCAU
This 400-nucleotide ribosomal RNA is filed under the name Micromonospora sp. WYP-2. Its description in RNAcentral is "bacterial SSU rRNA". It matches the Rfam family "Bacterial small subunit ribosomal RNA", at positions 642 to 1046 of the family's 1533-position model. Lineage: Bacteria; Bacillati; Actinomycetota; Actinomycetes; Micromonosporales; Micromonosporaceae. The record is from RNAcentral.